UGACUAGAAGGUGAAACGUGAUGGUUGAAU
This 30-nucleotide non-coding RNA is filed under the name Rattus norvegicus (Norway rat). The record is from RNAcentral. Lineage: Eukaryota; Metazoa; Chordata; Mammalia; Rodentia; Muridae.